This 258-nucleotide long non-coding RNA is filed under the name Anolis carolinensis (green anole). RNAcentral describes it as "lncRNA (ENSACAG00000041793.1)". The record is from RNAcentral. Lineage: Eukaryota; Metazoa; Chordata; Lepidosauria; Squamata; Anolidae.
UACAGAUUUAUCACACAAAGAACAGACCUGCUGAAUUAAUUCAUACUUAAGUUUACUAUUGAAGUUUGAUUGUGGUGACAGCCAGAUACUUGAGUUUCCUUUGUUCUUUCAUGGUGAUAUGCUUUUCUUUCUAUUAAAUAUCUCUCCAGGGUUCCAUAGCAUCCUUAUCUGCCUGUACUUCCUGAUCCGAAAGGACCCAGAAGACGACACUCUUCUUGGUACUCCAACACCUCAUUCUCAACUUUGAAAUAUAUGACC